Molecule: ribosomal RNA, 441 nt
Filed under: uncultured Anaerolineaceae bacterium
Lineage: Bacteria; Bacillati; Chloroflexota; Anaerolineae; Anaerolineales; Anaerolineaceae
Description: bacterial SSU rRNA
Rfam family: Bacterial small subunit ribosomal RNA
Source: RNAcentral
ACAAGCAGCGGAGCGUGUGGUUUAAUUCGUUGCUACACGAAGAACUUACCUGGGUUUGACAUAUAGGUUGUAGGGAACUGAAAGGGACGACCCUUCGGGGAGCCUAUACAGGUGUUGCAUUGGCUGUCGUCAGCUCGUGUCGUGAGAUGUUCGGUUAAGUCCGCUAACGAGCGCAACCCUCGUCGUAUGUUAUAUGUGUCAUACGAGACUGCCGGUAAAAGCCGGAGGAAGGUGAGGAUGAUGUCAAGUCAGCAUGACCUUUAUAUCCAGGGCUACACACACGCUACAAUGGUCUGUACAAUGGGUAGCCAAGCCGCGAGGCGGAGCCAAUCCUGAAAGCAGGCCUCAGUUCAGAUUGCAGUCUGCAACUCGACUGCAUGAAGCCGGAGUUGCUAGUAACCGCAGGUCAGCAAUACUGCGGUGAAUACGUUCCCGGGUCUU